UACGAAGGGGGCUAGCGUUGCUCGGAAUCACUGGGCGUAAAGCGCACGUAGGCGGAUCUUUAAGUCAGGGGUGAAAUCCUGGAGCUCAACUCCAGAACUGCCUUUGAUACUGGGGAUCUCGAGUCCGGGAGAGGUGAGUGGAACUCCGAGUGUAGAGGUGAAAUUCGUAGAUAUUCGGGAGAACACCCGUGGCGAAGGCGGCUCACUGGCCCGGUACUGACGCUGAGGUGCGAAAGCGUGGGGAGCAAACAGG
This 253-nucleotide ribosomal RNA is filed under the name uncultured bacterium. Its description in RNAcentral is "partial 16S ribosomal RNA". It matches the Rfam family "Bacterial small subunit ribosomal RNA", at positions 524 to 776 of the family's 1533-position model. The record is from RNAcentral.